UACGGAGGGUGCGAGCGUUGUCCGGAAUUAUUGGGCGUAAAGAGCUCGUAGGCGGUUUGUUGCGUCGGCUGCGAAAUCCUGAGGCUCAACCUCGGGUCUGCAGUCGAUACGAGCAAACUAGAGUGUUGCAGGGGAGACUGGAAUUCCUGGUGUAGCGGUGAAAUGCGCAGAUAUCAGGAGGAACACCGGUGGCGAAGGCGGGUCUCUGGGCAACAACUGACGCUGAGGAGCGAAAGCGUGGGGAGCGAACAGG
RNAcentral lists this ribosomal RNA (253 nucleotides) under uncultured bacterium. RNAcentral's name for it is "partial 16S ribosomal RNA". It matches the Rfam family "Bacterial small subunit ribosomal RNA", at positions 524 to 776 of the family's 1533-position model. The record is from RNAcentral.